RNAcentral lists this ribosomal RNA (1323 nucleotides) under Triticum aestivum (bread wheat). RNAcentral's name for it is "partial small subunit ribosomal RNA". Lineage: Eukaryota; Viridiplantae; Streptophyta; Magnoliopsida; Poales; Poaceae. The record is from RNAcentral.
ACGGCUAGAGCCGGAGGGCCGAGAGAGGUGAGCGGAGUUAGGGGUUACCGGCAGCUGUGGUGGUGGCGGCGCGGAAGGGUGGGACUUCCGCUGCUUCCGCCACUUCUCCGUCACGCCGGCGAGGAGAGGCCGCGCGGGCGACUCCACCUCCUACUCCUUGACCUGUAGUCCAUGCGCGGGAUACGCGCGGCACUACGCAUGCCCGGCUACCCGGCGCCCGGCGAGAGACGCCGCGUCCACCGUGCCAAUCACGACCGCCCGCAGCAAGAGGAGGGCGAGGCAGAGCAGCGUCCCCACGAGGACCAGCAGCGGAUGAUGGAGCACACGGCACACACGUGCGACAAACACCCGCCUCACCCUCUCCCGGCAGGGGCGGAUGUCCCCAACUCCUCCCUCCGGCACGACGCACGACCGGCGCACAACAGCGCCCGUUACGACAAGCACAAGCCCAAGAUGACCUAGGGGCACAGGCUAGCUUCGAAGGGGUUACGGCUCUUGAGUCACAGGUUCAACGGCAACUAACCAGAGUAUUCGUUUACAGAACCCACGUAAAAACAAGUUGCUCUUAGGUUUACAAGUCUAAGAUUUCCACAGAGUCCACGACAUUGACUUUCCGAGGUACUCCAAAGUGUUCUGCUCUUAAGGGGAUACUAGAAUGAGAAAGGACUCCCAUGAUGAUGCUUACCCCUAAUGGAAGAGGGUAAAUUCUGUCCUCGGAAAGAACGUUCCCGUGGUAACGUUGGACAUUAAAACUCUAUAGGAACGUCCUCUAAAUCAGGUCGGACCCUGAGGUACCUACCCCGUGCAGUACACAAAAACGAGGAGACAGUUAAACGUUUAAUGUAUCUCCACCAAGCGAACGGACAUAUGAUAGGAAGACUCGUUCUUUUCGUCCUAGGAUCUCAGAUACGGUUGUUGCAGUCUUUUAACGAACGCUGACUCCCAUUAAAUCAAGACAGAUUAGAACCCGACCGACUUUUCGCACGCAUAGUACGCCGUGAAUUACCUGACAACACAGUUUCGAUUAAACCUAUGUGUACUACUAUCAAAAUGAAAAACAGAAACAUGUAGCACUUAAUUUAAACAGCAAAAAAGAAAGAGUCGCUCCAGUCUGUGGUACAUGUACACACGCGGAAACUUUGUUUGGACUCAAUCCAGAACCCCGGUCUUCUUUAUCUCUAUCUGCCCAUUUUCAACUUUUGAUUGAAGACAAAUAAACUAAGCCGUACACUAAACAAACUAUAGGUGAUUACGCCUCAGGAUUACCUUCAAGACGGUCACACAUAGUUUAUAAUCAGGAUUUACCCUUGAAGACGGUCACAC